RNAcentral lists this long non-coding RNA (944 nucleotides) under Anas platyrhynchos platyrhynchos (common mallard). Its description in RNAcentral is "lncRNA (ENSAPLG00000016628.1)". Lineage: Eukaryota; Metazoa; Chordata; Aves; Anseriformes; Anatidae. The record is from RNAcentral.
UACUUUGGCCAGAGUGAUGCAAAAUAAAUUUGGUGAGACAUGCCAGCUCAGGAAAUUAAUUGUUAUUUGGACAGAUUCAUUAUUGGUAGGGAUGAUUUUCCUUUGAUUGGCAGAAUGACCAUCUCCACUUAUGCGAAUUAUUAUAGAUGUGGAGGAGAGCUGAAGAGAUAACAUUCUUCAUACCUGGCUAGCAGCUUGGUGACAUGAGUGGGAUGCUCAGACAAGCCAUUACAUAAAAAACAGCAGGCUUUAGUUUCUAGCAAAACUUAUCAUUUCUGAGGGAAAUGCUCAGAGAAAACAGAUACUGUCUUCCAGGCAUAUUCAGAUCUGGGCCAGCUUAGGGUAAAAUCUUGUUGAGAUCUUCCAGGUUUCCUGCUUUCUGAGCCAAACCUUACCACAGCAGAUAUGACUGUAGGUUAGACAGACCCACUGAGUUUUAAUGAUUCAGUUCAGAACCAAAACCUGAGGGAAAUCUGGGGUUUAAACCUGAAUGUGCAUCCCAGAGAAACAGGUAUUUUUCGUUUGGUUUUGGCUCAGCAUCUAUGCUGCUGGCAUUUUCGAAGACCACAUAUGAAGCAGACCAAAUCAGUCAGAUUAAUCACCAUGCUGUUUUUUGUUGUUGUUGACAUAUCAGCAGAGGAAAGCACUGAUCGUGUUUCAUGUACUUGUCUUUUGAAAGUUUCCCACAAUACAGGUUUUUGGUCUGCUGAAUCUUCUCACAAUUUAUCUAUACAUCUUCAAGCUACAACCCGAGCUCAGACUAAAAAACAGAGAACUGAAAAGCAGGGAACAAGCCUCUGGCCUCCCUGCAUAUGACCUGGAAAGGCGCAAUGCCCCUGGGCAAGCCUGUUUGUUUGAGCAAUCUAAUGGUUUGUUAGGACACCUGGCUUCUCCCAGGGAAACUGGGAGGGUCCAGCAUGAAUAAACAAGCUGGAUCAUCUGCA